This 393-nucleotide ribosomal RNA is filed under the name uncultured bacterium. RNAcentral describes it as "partial 16S ribosomal RNA". It matches the Rfam family "Bacterial small subunit ribosomal RNA", at positions 523 to 918 of the family's 1533-position model. The record is from RNAcentral.
AUACGGAGGAUCCGAGCGUUAUCCGGAUUUAUUGGGUUUAAAGGGAGCGUAGGCGGGAAGUCAAGUCAGCUGUGAAAUGUAGGUGCUCAACGCCUGCACUGCAGUUGAAACUGGUUUUCUUGAGUGCGUAAGGGGCAGGCGGAAUUCGUCGUGUAGCGGUGAAAUGCAUAGAUAUGACGAAGAACUCCGAUCGCGAAGGCAGCUUGCCGGGCCGCAACUGACGCUGAAGCUCGAAGGUGCGGGUAUCGAACAGGAUUAGAUACCCUGGUAGUCCGCACAGUAAACGAUGGAUACUCGCUGUCGGCGAUAUACGGUCGGUGGCCAAGCGAAAGCGUUAAGUAUCCCACCUGGGGAGUACGCCGGCAACGGUGAAACUCAAAUGAAUUGGCGGGG